RNAcentral lists this ribosomal RNA (763 nucleotides) under Apilactobacillus kunkeei. Its description in RNAcentral is "bacterial SSU rRNA". It matches the Rfam family "Bacterial small subunit ribosomal RNA", at positions 56 to 795 of the family's 1533-position model. Lineage: Bacteria; Bacillati; Bacillota; Bacilli; Lactobacillales; Lactobacillaceae. The record is from RNAcentral.
UCCCAAAUUGAUUUUAUGCUUGCAUAAAUGAUUUUUGGAUUCGGAGCGAGUGGCGAACUGGUGAGUAACACGUGGGUAACCUGCCCCGAAGCGGGGGAUAACAUUUGGAAACAAGUGCUAAUACCGCAUAAUUAGUUGGAACCGCAUGGUUCCAACUUGAAAGAUGGCUCUGCUAUCACUUUGGGAUGGACCCGCGCCGUAUUAGUUAGUUGGUGAGAUAAAAGCCCACCAAGACGAUGAUACGUAGCCGACCUGAGAGGGUAAUCGGCCACAUUGGGACUGAGACACGGCCCAGACUCCUACGGGAGGCAGCAGUAGGGAAUCUUCCACAAUGGACGAAAGUCUGAUGGAGCAACGCCGCGUGAGUGAUGAAGGUUUUCGGAUCGUAAAACUCUGUUGUUAAAGAAGAACAAGUGUUAGAGUAACUGUUAACACUUUGACGGUAUUUAACCAGAAAGCCACGGCUAACUACGUGCCAGCAGCCGCGGUAAUACGUAGGUGGCAAGCGUUGUCCGGAUUUAUUGGGCGUAAAGCGAGCGCAGGCGGUUUUGUAAGUCUGCUGUGAAAGCCCUCAGCUCAACUGAGGAAGUGCAGUGGAAACUACAAAACUUGAGUACAGAAGAGGAAAGUGGAACUCCAUGUGUAGCGGUGAAAUGCGUAGAUAUAUGGAAGAACACCAGUGGCGAAGGCGGCUUUCUGGUCUGUUACUGACGCUGAGGCUCGAAAGCAUGNGUAGCGAACAGGAUUAGAUACCCUGGUAGUC